Molecule: small nucleolar RNA, 109 nt
Organism: Gossypium arboreum
Lineage: Eukaryota; Viridiplantae; Streptophyta; Magnoliopsida; Malvales; Malvaceae
Rfam family: Plant small nucleolar RNA R71
About the family: R71 is a member of the C/D box family of snoRNAs containing the C (UGAUGA) and D (CUGA) box motifs. Multiple nearly identical copies of this snoRNA have been identified in Arabidopsis, and it is thought to function as a 2'-O-ribose methylation guide for 18S ribosomal RNA.
Source: Rfam
AACCCAUGAUGAGGACACCUUCUCAAUAAGUCCUUGUAUCUCUCCCAUGCAUCAUAUAACAUCUAUAAAUUGAUCUCAGUAUGAAGGAAGAAAUAUCAUUCCUCAACUU